UCGAUCGAGAAGAGGAUGCACUUAUCAUGUGGACUUCCAGUAUAGUGGGCCUUAUAAACGCUGCAAAAAUUACCACAAACUAUAACCAACAUGUGUUAACAUCAAGUAUUUCCUUCACUCAUCUUCAACCAUUGAGAGGUCAUCACAAUAUAAACUGUACAUUAGAUGUUCUAUCUAGUUGUGGAAAGAACCAGUCCGUAAUGUAUACGUUCAAUGCUGAAUCCUUAGAUGUACCAAGCAAGGAACGAGCAACCAACUAUUACCACGCAGUUGAGUACAUUACAAUGAUUUACUCAUUAUUUAUUGGUACUGUAGUCCUUGUAAUUUAGAGAAUAAAGUGUCGUGUCGUACCGUGAACUGAUGAAUAGUACCACUGGAUUGCCUAUCUAGUUUCCAAGUCAGGUAUUUUUAGGUGUGUUUUCACUUGACAUAGCCUAAAUAAGUGUAUGGAAACAUUCUCUCAUCUAUGAGUUAUAUUCAGCAAGUGAAUUUCAACACGGUAUAGCCGUAUUAUUAAUAUGGUGUUUUUUCAUUGACGUAACCAAUCAGUCUAUUUUUUUUCAAAAUGUUGAUCAGAAAAUGUGUUAAAGAUAUAUGAAUUGUAAAAUUGAUAUUAACAAAGAACUCUUAAAUGUUUAUUUCUUUUUUCAUUAAUUUAGAUUGAUUUCUUUAUUCUAUUCCUUAUUAAAUGCAAUAGAUUAGCUUAGCUUUUUUUAAAUUGCCAGCCUCUCCACCACUGCCACCACCUAUGGGGUAUUUGUAAUACCGUAGUUUGUUUUCAUCAAUUAUAUAUUUAUCAGAUCUUAUUUUGUUAAGUUCUAAAUAACAACAUUCAAUAUAUUACUUUCAUUAUGUUCUAAUAUAUAAAAGUAUUUAAUGAAAAUAUUUAAGUAUUGAUAUACGAAUGUCUAUUAUUAGUCCUCAUGAGUCUUAUUUAUAAUUAUAUCACUCUCCUAUUUUAGUUUUAAUGUAUAAUGGGAGUGAUGUACAGCUUCAGCUUGAAGUAUGAACAAUCAAUAUAAGGGUUCAUCAACAUCGACAAAAUAUUAGGCAUUUGUUGCUUGUGCUAUAUUUACCAAACUGUAUAAUCGUACUACAAAAGUGUAAUUUAGAAAAAAAAUGAUACCUAUAACUUAUAGAAGGCCAACUGUUUCUCUAUUUAAGAAAAACAAAUGGAAAUUUUCUGCAGUCGUUGUUAAUAACUACAUAUAUAAAGAUGAUGUAUCAAGGUGUCAAUAUUUCUACAAAAUAAAAAUUUUUAAUAUUGUUAUUAUUAUUAUAAGUCUACUAUAUAACAUAUUUGAUUUGUUGAUCGUUUGUAUAUUAACAUGUAUGGUGCAAGCCCCAAUAUUACCAUUAAUUUUAGACAUUAAUGAAAUAAAAGUGGGCUUUGGUUGUAUUUGUUAUUUUUUUUUUAUUGUGGUUGAACCUCCUUUUACUUUAGCAUAUUUUGUCAUUUGUUGAAUCAGAGUUAUGGGUACACUCAAUGUAAUGUUUAAGUCUUAUUGUGUUAUAGAAAUGUGUACAUGUGAUUUUGCUGCGGUUAGUUUUUGGUUGGUUUCUGUUGACAGUAAUUUGUAGUCUAGAAAAAAAAAAUCUAAAAAGAGGCCUACAAAUCCCCUUAGAAGGAGUUGAAUGUUAGAAGCAGUCACCCAUGCCAGAUGUAUGUUUGACACUAUCUGGUCACCCCUAGCCUGGGUGACACUUUCGCUAACAUUCCGAAAAACUCACCUCCAUCAUAUGUUCCUUUCAUAUGCAAAUUAUUUGAAAUAGGUUAUGAAAAAUGAAGAAAAUGCAGUGUUUAUGUAUCUUUGUAAUAAGCGGUUUCAAAGAUACAUAAAUGCAGUGUUUAUGUAUCUUUGAAACCGCUUAUUACAUGUUUCAAUUCAAUGUAAUGAACAAGAUAAUCUGAGAUUAAUAGCCCUCGCUCUGCUGCUCCCAUAUAUUUGUAUAUAGUCACUGGUUUUUGUUGUAUUAUAGGGGUGUAAUAUUAUUAGCUAUACAUAUCAGGUGAAACAUAGCUGGUGUUUAAAAAUGUACACAUAUGUAGUGUAAAGUUAAUCGAACGUAUGGGGUUCUAGUCUCCUUUUUUUUUGUUAUUUUUAUUAUUUGUGCAUCAGUAGAAUACAUUUUUUAAAUAUUUUAUUAUUUUUCACAAUUACUUUUACAGGUAUGAGCGAUUCCACUUGUACCACCUCCGGGAAAAACCAUUUUAAAAGUCGUACAACCUAGGAAUUGCUAUGU
This 2244-nucleotide long non-coding RNA is filed under the name Anneissia japonica. Its description in RNAcentral is "uncharacterized LOC117122977". Lineage: Eukaryota; Metazoa; Echinodermata; Crinoidea; Comatulida; Comatulidae. The record is from RNAcentral.